UAGAAUGUUGUGGAUGGAUAAAUUGUGUCUAAACAUAUAAUUGUAUUUGGUUGAAAUAUUGAAGUUGUUUGAAAUUGUGUUUCGAGAAUUUGCAGGAGGAAUUGAAUUUUUAUGAAAAGGAAUUAUGUCAAAAUUUUUGUAAAAAAUAUAUAUAUUUCAGAUCGUUUGAUAAUAGUUCUUACUUUGUUUCGAUGAUGAAUACGGGUAAGAGGUGUUACAUCAUGUCUCAAGUUUUCCUCAUUAGGAACAAAUAACCUUCCCAUAAAACGUAGGUCCCUCUUAUUUCCCAGGCUAAAACUUCUUGCAUCGUUAAACAUCAUACAUUAUUUUAUCUCAUCACACUGAUCAUCCUUGAAUUGGAACUCAAAUAUUUGGGAAAGAAAAAAAAGUCACACCCUUAACUCAGCAAGGAAGAC
This 416-nucleotide long non-coding RNA is filed under the name Gossypium barbadense (sea-island cotton). RNAcentral's name for it is "long non-coding RNA (GBAR_LNC014264)". Lineage: Eukaryota; Viridiplantae; Streptophyta; Magnoliopsida; Malvales; Malvaceae. The record is from RNAcentral.